Molecule: ribosomal RNA, 2599 nt
Filed under: human gut metagenome
Description: bacterial LSU rRNA
Rfam family: Bacterial large subunit ribosomal RNA
Source: RNAcentral
AGAGCGCAAGGGGAAUGCCUUGGCACUGGGAGCCGAAGAAGGACGUGGUUAACUGCGAAAAGCUGCGGGGAGCCGUAAACAGGCGCUAUAUCCGCAGAUCUCCGAAUGGGGCAACCCGGCCGGGUUCAUACCCGGUCACCGUGCACUGAAUACAUAGGUGUACGGAGGGAACCGCCUGAACUGAAACAUCUAAGUAGGGCGAGGAAGAGAAAUCAACCGAGAUUCUGUGAGUAGUGGCGAGCGAAAGCGGAAGAGGCUAAACCAUAGGUAGCAAUACUUAUGGGGUUUCGGACAGCAUUUAGUAUUGAUAAUUUCUAGUUGAAACGUGUGGGAAAACGUACCGAAGAGUGUGAGAGUCACGUAAGCGAAAGAGAAAGUCAGCGAGCUGUAUCCAAAGUACCGCGGGACACGUGAAACCCCGUGGGAAGAUGGGGGGACCAUCCUCCAAGCCUAAAUACUACCUAAUGACCGAUAGCGAAUAGUACUGUGAAGGAACGGUGAAAAGAACCCCGGGAGGGGAGUGAAAAAGAACCUGAAACCCUAUGCUUACAAGCACCGAGAGCACGUCAAAGUGUGAUCGGGUACCUUUUGUAGAAUGGUCCGGCGAGUUAUUGUAUGCGGCAAGGUUAAGUGCUUAAGGCACGGAGCCGAAGCGAGAGCAAGUCUGAACAGGGCGAAAAAGUCGUAUGCAAUAGACCCGAAACCGAGUGACCUAUCCAUGUCCAGGCUGAAGUGGAGGUAAAACUCCAUGGAGGGCCGAACACACGUCCGUUGAAAAGGCCGGUGAUGAGGUGUGGAUAGCGGAGAAAUUCCAAUCGAACUCGGAUAUAGCUGGUUCUCCCCGAAAUAGGUUUAGGCCUAGCCUUGAGAUUGAGCACUAUGGAGGUAGAGCACUGAAUAUACAAUGGCCCCAUCUAGGGGUACUGAGUGUAAUCAAACUCCGAAUGCCAUAGGAAGCAUACUCAAGAGUCAGCGUAUGGGUGAUAACGUCCAUGCGCGAAAGGAAAAGAGUCCAGAUCGCCAAUUAAGGUCCCAAAAUUUGUACUAAGUGGGAAAGGAUGUGGAGUUGUCAAAACAGCUAGGAGGUUGGCUUAGAAGCAGCCAUCCUUUAAAGAGUGCGUAAUAGCUCACUAGUCGAGUGACACUGCGCCGAAGAUGUACCGGGGCUAAGUACAAUACCGAAAUUGCGGAUUUACACGUAAGUGUAAGUGGUAGGGGAGCGUUCCAAGGGCGUUGAAGGUUGACCGUGAGGACAGCUGGAGCGCUUGGAAGUGAGAAUGCCGGUGUGAGUAGCGCAAGAUGGGUGAGAAUCCCAUCCACCGUUUGCCUAAGGUUUCCUGGGCGAGGUUCGUCCUCCCAGGGUUAGUCGGGUCCUAAGACGAGGCCGAGAGGCGUAGCCGAUGGACAACAGGUUGAUAUUCCUGUACUAUCUAUAAGACUGAUGGAGUGACGGAGAAAGAUAGGAAGAGCCAGUUAAUGGAUUCUGGUCUAAGCACAAAGGUUGAUAAAAAGGGAAAUCCGUUUAUCGUUCAACUGAAGUGUGAUGGUGAAGUACCUAGUACGAAAUCUUCUGACUCUAUGCUUCCAAGAAAAGCUUCUAGGGUUAAUCUUAUAGAUACCCGUACCGAGAACCGACACAGGUGGGCAAGGAGAGUAUCCUAAGGUGAGCGAGAGAACUAUGGUUAAGGAACUCGGCAAAAUAACCCCGUAACUUCGGGAGAAGGGGUGGUCAUUUCGGUGACCGGCACUAAAGACGUCCAGGCAACUGUUUACCAAAAACACAGGUCUCUGCUAAGUCGUAAGACGAUGUAUAGGGGCUGACACCUGCCCAGUGCUGGAAGGUUAAGAGGAGUGCUUAGAUAGACUAAGGUCAAUGAUUCGAAGGUACGAAUUGAAGCCCCAGUGAACGGCGGCCGUAACUAUAACGGUCCUAAGGUAGCGAAAUUCCUUGUCAGGUAAGUUCUGACCCGCACGAAAGGUGUAAUGAUCUGGACACUGUCUCAACCAUAGACUCGGUGAAAUCUUAAUACCUGUGAAAAUGCAGGUUACCCGCAACAGGACGGAAAGACCCCAUGGAGCUUUACUGUAGCUUGAUAUUGAGGUUCGGUGUAUUAUGUAGAGGAUAGGUGGGAGACUAAGAAGCUAGGACGCCAGUUCUAGCAGAGUCAACCUUGGAAUACCACCCUUAAUACAUUGGACUUCUAACCUAGGACCGUAAUCCGGUUCAGGGACAGUGUCUGGUGGGCAGUUUGACUGGGGCGGUCGCCUCCCAAAGAGUAACGGAGGCGCUCAAAGGUUCCCUCAGAAUGUUUGGAAAUCAUUCUAAGAGCGUAAAGGUAUAAGGGAGCUUGACUGCGAGACCAACAAGUCGAGCAGAUACGAAAGUAGGACUUAGUGAUCAGACGAUGCAGAAUGGAAUGGUCGUCGCUUAACGGAUAAAAGUUACCCUGGGGAUAACAGGCUGAUACCACCCAAUAGUUCACAUAGACGGUGGUGUUUGGCACCUCGAUGUCGGCUCGUCACAUCCUGGAGGUGAAGUCGCUUCCAAGGGUUGGGCUGUUCGCCCAUUAAAGUGGCACGCGAGCUGGGUUCAGAACGU